This 254-nucleotide ribosomal RNA is filed under the name uncultured bacterium. RNAcentral describes it as "partial 16S ribosomal RNA". It matches the Rfam family "Bacterial small subunit ribosomal RNA", at positions 524 to 776 of the family's 1533-position model. The record is from RNAcentral.
UACGGGGGGGGGCAAGCGUUGUUCGGAAUUACUGGGCGUAAAGGGCCAGUAGGCGGCCAACUAAGUCCGACGUGAAAUCCCAAGGCUUAACCUUGGAACUGCGUCGGAUACUGGAUGGCUUGAAUUCGGGAGAGGGAUGCAGAAUUCCAGGUGUAGCGGUGAAAUGCGUAGAUAUCUGGAGGAAUACCGGUGGCGAAGGCGGCAUCCUGGACCGACAUUGACGCUGAACGGCGAAAGCUAGGGGAGCAAACGGG